This 613-nucleotide long non-coding RNA is filed under the name Ananas comosus (pineapple). Its description in RNAcentral is "long non-coding RNA (ACOM_LNC034150)". The record is from RNAcentral. Lineage: Eukaryota; Viridiplantae; Streptophyta; Magnoliopsida; Poales; Bromeliaceae.
UAGCGUUUUUAAAGAAUAAAGAUUUCCAUGUAGGAAACAGCUUUCAAAAGGUUUUCUGUGAUUUUAUAUCGUAGUAUUUCAAAACCUGUUUCUGUGGUUGGAAACAUUUUAACUGAUAGAUGUGGAUUUAUGUUUAAAUGUUGAAUGCAUAAAUGUGAAUCUGUGGUGAAUAGUGUAUGAAUAUAUAUAUAACGGUUGGUUAUUUGUAUGUUCAUUUGUUGUGGUUGUGCCUGGGUGACUUCUUGUACUUGUGCGACGCCGUGCAAAUAAAGGGGAGACUCUGUCCGUGUGAACAGUGGAUUCCCUGUGUUUGUGGCGGAUCUGGCAUACUCUAGGGUCAGGCUUUUCAAAAAAAAAAAAAAAAAAAAUUUCAGACGCUUUUCCGCUAUGUUUUAAACUAAAAGGGACCCCGGGGCGUGACAGGGAGAAACAGAGUAGAGACUCUCAAUUGUUGAGGAUCCGGGAGCAGAUAAAGAGGGGACAGGUAGAGGACUUCGCUAUGGACAGUUCGGGAGUACUGCGGUAUAGGGACCGACUGUGUAUGCUUAUGAAUUCAGAGAUCCGAGAAAAGAUUUUGAGAGAGACUCAUUACUCACUUUAUACGGUUCAUCCC